Molecule: ribosomal RNA, 455 nt
Filed under: Salmonella enterica subsp. enterica serovar Enteritidis
Lineage: Bacteria; Pseudomonadati; Pseudomonadota; Gammaproteobacteria; Enterobacterales; Enterobacteriaceae
Description: partial 23S ribosomal RNA
Rfam family: Bacterial large subunit ribosomal RNA
Source: RNAcentral
GUUGGGUAACACUAACUGGAGGACCGAACCGACUAAUGUUGAAAAAUUAGCGGAUGACCUGUGGCUGGGGGUGAAAGGCCAAUCAAACCGGGAGAUAGCUGGUUCUCCCCGAAAGCUAUUUAGGUAGCGCCUCGUGAAUUCAUCUCCGGGGGUAGAGCACUGUUUCGGCUAGGGGGCCAUCCCGGCUUACCAACCCGAUGCAAACUGCGAAUACCGGAGAAUGUUAUCACGGGAGACACACGGCGGGUGCUAACGUCCGUCGUGAAGAGGGAAACAACCCAGACCGCCAGCUAAGGUCCCAAAGUCAUGGUUAAGUGGGAAACGAUGUGGGAAGGCCCAGACAGCCAGGAUGUUGGCUUAGAAGCAGCCAUCAUUUAAAGAAAGCGUAAUAGCUCACUGGUCGAGUCGGCCUGCGCGGAAGAUGUAACGGGGCUAAACCAUGCACCGAAGCUGCG